CCAUCUGCUAAGUGUGCUACAUGCCUAAUGCU
This 32-nucleotide non-coding RNA is filed under the name Homo sapiens (human). The record is from RNAcentral. Lineage: Eukaryota; Metazoa; Chordata; Mammalia; Primates; Hominidae.